CCCCUCUCAGGGUCACACCCGGAGAGUUUCCAGUCCUCUACCAGUUUCGACUACGGGAGGGAGAGCCAAGCAGGGGCCUACCCAUUCCAUUCCUAGCUCGGGCAGUGGCUAGCAAGUGGAAGGCAGCCUGCUACAAGU
Molecule: small nucleolar RNA, 138 nt
Filed under: Ornithorhynchus anatinus (platypus)
Lineage: Eukaryota; Metazoa; Chordata; Mammalia; Monotremata; Ornithorhynchidae
Source: RNAcentral